AGUGAACGCUGGCGGUAGGCCUAACACAUGCAAGUCGAACGGCAGCACAGUAAGAGCUUGCUCUUACGGGUGGCGAGUGGCGGACGGGUGAGGAAUACAUCGGAAUCUACUUUUUCGUGGGUGAUAACGUAGGGAAACUUACGCUAAUACCGCAUACGACCUACGGGUGAAAGCAGGGGAUCUUCGGACCUUGCGCGAUUGAAUGAGCCGAUGUCGGAUUAGCGAGUUGGCGGGGUAAAGGCCCACCAAGGCGACGAUCCGUAGCUGGUCUGAGAGGAUGAUCAGCCACACUGGAACUGAGACACGGUACAGACUCCUACGGGAGGCAGCAGUGGGGAAUAUUGGACAAUGGGCGCAAGCCUGAUCCAGCCAUACCGCGUGGGUGAAGAAGGCCUUCGGGUUGUAAAGCCCUUUUGUUGGGAAAGAAAAGCAGCAGGUUAAUACCCCGCUGUUCUGACGGUACCCAAAGAAUAAGCACCGGCUAACUUCGUG
RNAcentral lists this ribosomal RNA (492 nucleotides) under uncultured bacterium. RNAcentral's name for it is "partial 16S ribosomal RNA". It matches the Rfam family "Bacterial small subunit ribosomal RNA", at positions 29 to 507 of the family's 1533-position model. The record is from RNAcentral.